UACGGAGGGCGCAAGCGUUGUUCGGGAUUACUGGGCGUAAAGCGCGUGUAGGCGGUUCAGCAAGUCGGUUGUGAAAGCCCCGGGCUCAACUCGGGAAUUGCGUGCGAAACUGCUGAACUGGAGUCCCGGAGAGGAAGGCAGAAUUCCCGAUGUAGGGGUGAAAUCCGUAGAUAUUGGGAGGAGUACCGGUGGCGAAGGCGGCCUUCUGGACGGUGACUGACGCUGAGACGCGAAAGCGUGGGGAGCAAACAGG
This 253-nucleotide ribosomal RNA is filed under the name uncultured bacterium. Its description in RNAcentral is "partial 16S ribosomal RNA". It matches the Rfam family "Bacterial small subunit ribosomal RNA", at positions 524 to 776 of the family's 1533-position model. The record is from RNAcentral.